UGAUAUUUUAAGGAGAUUCAUUUUUGAAUGCUGAGAUGUGCAGCUAUAUAUUCUUAAGAGAAAACUAUUACGUGUAUCAAAACUGUUUUUUUUUCUUUUUUUUCUGAGACGGAGUUUUACUCUUAUUGCCCAGGCUGGAGCACAAUGGCGCGAUCUAGGCUCACCGCAACCUCCACCUCUUGGGUUCAACCGAUUCUCCUGCCUCAGCCUCCCGAGUAGUUGAGAUUACAGGUGUGAGCCACCAUGCCCGGCCAAAACUUUCUUUUCAUUUUGAGUUUGAGUGCAGCAAAAAAGUGUAUCAAACUAGAAUGAGCAUUUGCAUAUGUAAGGACAAUUGGAAAUACUCUUGCUCGUAGUGAAUAGAUUACUGGUAAUAAGUGAGACAAGAUGUUAAAUUAUUUUUUAUAUUUUCUAUUGUACCUGAUGAAAGCACAGAUAUUUAUGAUGUUACUCAUAAUGAUUUCUUUGUAACUUUGAUGAGAAUUUUAAUAUGACUGGAGAUAAAAGAACUUACUUCCCUGUAUCGUUAUCUAGGGACUUUUUUGUAUUAAAAAAAUUAAAAGUGG
Homo sapiens (human) is the source of this 566-nucleotide long non-coding RNA. Ensembl annotates it as RSF1 intronic transcript 2. Its record names the gene RSF1-IT2. Lineage: Eukaryota; Metazoa; Chordata; Mammalia; Primates; Hominidae. The record is from Ensembl.